UCUGCAAUCAGUUGAUGCCAACCCUUUAUGGCGUGCUGGGGAGGGAAUUGGGUUAUAUUAAAACAAACAUAGAUCUAUUUGCAAUGGAAUGCAAAACUCACAAGCUUCCUUAAGAAAGCAAAGCAGAUCCGAAGGAGUUGAGUGUGCCUCGGGCCACUCCUCUCCCUGCUCCCACCCAUUCCUCUCGCAGGGAGACCCUGGCAGGGCCGGGGUUGAGAAGCGCUGGCGUGGACGGAGAGCACCGGCUGGAAAAGACAGGUGUGCGCGCUUGCAUUCUUCCCGCAAACAGCUACAGUCUUAACUGGCAGCUCCUGCCUCCUUGAGCUGGGGCUCUGGGCCAGGCUCUCGGCCAAGCGCUGGGGACGCCACUGAGAACCAGGGCGGCCAGUGAAAGCAGACUGCGGUGCGAACCCAGCCUCCAUCCACCACUUACCCGCUGAGCGACCUGAGACUGCCCUCUCUCUUCUGUCAAAUUAGGGGGACUUUCUCCAGCAGGUGAAACCGAGAAAGGCUUUUAAGGCUCAGAAGAAAUCCUGCCCGUAGUUACAAAGCCUGUUACUUAACUUCCCGUGGCAAUUAAUCACACCCUUGGCCUUUUGAGAAAAUUCUCCAGGAGAGCAGUCUCCCCAGCACCUGUCACGGGGUCUGGCACAACAUGGUAGGGACACAAUAAAUAAAUACUUCCUUCAGUCU
This 693-nucleotide long non-coding RNA is filed under the name Dasypus novemcinctus (nine-banded armadillo). RNAcentral describes it as "lncRNA (ENSDNOG00000051372.1)". Lineage: Eukaryota; Metazoa; Chordata; Mammalia; Cingulata; Dasypodidae. The record is from RNAcentral.